UACGGCUAUAUUAUGUUGAAACAUCGGUUCCCGUACAAUCACAGAAGGUAAGCAACGUCGGGCCUAGUCAGUACCUUGAUGUGUAACCGCAUGGGAAUGUCAGGU
Acanthosepion pharaonis is the source of this 105-nucleotide non-coding RNA. NCBI's taxonomy places the organism in Eukaryota, Metazoa, Mollusca, Cephalopoda, Sepiida, Sepiidae. The record is from the annotation of a GenBank genome assembly.